CCCCAGUGACCUUGUGACGUAGUACGGAGGAAGAGCGCCUUGGCCGGCUGAGCUAUGCCGGGUCGAUGAUCCACUGGAAGAAUUAUCCCUUGAUUCCUAUUAUACCCAUUCAUCUAUAUCCAUUGACCCCUGUCUUCAACAGACUCAGUGAUUGAGGAUCCAAUGCUCUUGCAGCUGAAGUGAACAAACCCAUAUUUACAAGGAGAAAGUGAGAAUUGCCAAUGCUGGAGAUCAAAGUCAAGAGUGUGGUGC
This is a non-coding RNA of Chiloscyllium plagiosum (whitespotted bambooshark), 252 nucleotides long. The record is from RefSeq and is a predicted model, not a curated record. NCBI's taxonomy places the organism in Eukaryota, Metazoa, Chordata, Chondrichthyes, Orectolobiformes, Hemiscylliidae.